AAUAAGUACAGCUGUGGAUAUCCGUACCCAAUGUUUGACCGUUUGUCUUAUUUGAAAAAUUUAUGAAAAAAUUAAAAAUAUUUAAUCACACAUAAAGUACUAUUUAUGUUUUAUCAUCUAAUAGCAAUAAAAAUACUAAUCAUAAAAAGUUUUCAAAUAAGACGAACGGUCAAACAUUGAACAUAAAUAGUGCAAAACUACACUUAUU
This 208-nucleotide microRNA precursor is filed under the name Oryza rufipogon (brownbeard rice). Its description in RNAcentral is "MIR812 microRNA precursor family". It matches the Rfam family "MIR812 microRNA precursor family". The record is from Rfam by way of RNAcentral. Lineage: Eukaryota; Viridiplantae; Streptophyta; Magnoliopsida; Poales; Poaceae.